This 573-nucleotide long non-coding RNA is filed under the name Capra hircus (goat). Its description in RNAcentral is "lncRNA (ENSCHIG00010025650.1)". The record is from RNAcentral. Lineage: Eukaryota; Metazoa; Chordata; Mammalia; Artiodactyla; Bovidae.
AUGUUAAUCAGCAGUCCAUUUUUAAAAGACGUUCUCUGUCCUACCAAAAGGGAAAACCGAGGGAAGCACCGGGAAAGGAGAACUGCUGCGUCUCCAAUGUUUGAAAAGAUGCCUCAGUUCGCCCGACUGCGAGGGGCACUUGUCUCGAGGGCGAGGGCUGAGGAUUUAGAAAAUACAAUGGCGCCGGUGGUUUCUAGACACGCCUUCCACGGAGCUAAAGCGACUGCGGCGACAAGAAACCAGCGAGAGGCCAAGCGGGAUAGGCAGACGCUUUACCAUCUGAGCCACCAGGGAAGUCCAGUCAGCAAUAAAAGGCAAGGGGAAUACCCACGGGAAUACCCACCCAACCCCUACCCCGGAGAACAACUUUCUUGUUUUCUAAAGACUCAAGAAAUUUGCAGUUCCCAGCGCCGUUCUGCUGCCCACCUUCCCCAAGCUGAUCUCUGGAAUGAUGACUGCACAAAAGUUCAGCUCCCUCCUCUCUGCACAGCAGCCAACUCACACUGUACGAAAAACCCACAGAGAGGAUGCAGCUCAGCUCCAUUAUGCAAAAAAGAGGUCAUUGUUUUUUAG